RNAcentral lists this ribosomal RNA (4302 nucleotides) under Triticum aestivum (bread wheat). RNAcentral describes it as "partial small subunit ribosomal RNA". Lineage: Eukaryota; Viridiplantae; Streptophyta; Magnoliopsida; Poales; Poaceae. The record is from RNAcentral.
AUGGGGGAGGUGGUGGCCACCAUGGCGAUCCGGCCACUGGUGUCCAUGCUGAUGAACAAGGCAUCCAACUACCUUCUGAACAAAUACAAGGUGAUGGAGGGAAUGGAGGAGGAGCACAGGACUCUCGAGCGCAAGCUUCCGGCCAUCCUUGACGUCAUCACCGAUGCCGAGGAGCAGGCGACGGCCCACAGAGAAGGUGCGAAAGCUUGGCUCCAGGAGCUCAAGAGAGUGGCCCAUGCGGCAAAUGAAGUCUUCGAUGAAUUCAAGUAUGAAGCACUCCGCCGCGAAGCCAAGAAGAAGGGGCACUACAGCAAGCUUGGAUUUGAUGUAAUAAAACUCUUCCCUACUCACAACCGUAUUGCGUUCCGAUACAAAAUGGGUCGCAAGCUUUGCCGGAUUCUCCAGGCCAUUGAGGUCCUCAUAGCAGAUAUGCAGGCCUUUGGGUUCAAGUACCAAUCAGAGCAGCCGGUGUCCAAGGAUUGGCGGCACACAGAUUAUGUCAUCAUCGCCCCACAAGAAAUUGCCAAUAGAUCCAGAGGCAAAGAUAAGAAAAAGAUUGUUGAUACACUACUUGGUCAAGCUGGCAAUGCAGAUCUCGCAGUAGUUCCCAUCGUUGGAAUGGGGGGCCUUGGCAAGACCACAUUAGCGCAGCUCAUAUACAAUGAACCUAAAGUUCAGAAGCAUUUUCAGUUGCUGCUCUGGGUAUGUGUCUCUGAUACCUUUGAUGUGAACUCCUUAGCCAAGAGUAUAGUUGAAGCAUCUCCCGGGAAAAAUGAUGAUAUAGCCAAACCACCAUUGGAUAGACUUCAGAAAUUGGUCAGAGGGCAGAGGUAUCUCCUUGUAUUGGAUGAUGUAUGGAACAGAGAGGUUGAUAAGUGGGAAAGGCUGAAGGUCUGUCUUCAAUGUGGUGGCACCGGUAGUGCAGUGUUGACAACAACACGUGAUAAUCAAGUUGCUGAAAUUAUGGGUGCAGAUAGAGCCUACCAUCUCAGUGAUUUGGAUGAUAGCUUUUUAAAGGAAAUUAUUGACUCUAGAGCAUUCAGUCCAGAGAAAGAAAAGCCUGCCGUGCUAGUCAAGAUGGUUGGCGAGAUUGUGAAGAGAUGUUGUGGCUCUCCUUUAGCUGCAAUUGCACUAGGUUCUGUACUUCGCACCAAGACCACUGUGAAAGAAUGGAAGGCUAUAUCAUCUAGAAGCAGCAUCUGCACUGACGAAACUGGAAUCUUACCAAUACUCAAGCUUAGCUACAAUGACUUGCCAUCACAUAUGAAGCAGUGCUUUGCUUUUUGUGCUGUAUUUCCCAAGGAUUACAAGAUUGAUGUGGAGAAGCUGAUCCAACUAUGGAUCGCACAUGGAUUUAUCCCAGAACACAGGGAAGAUAGUCCUGAAACCGUUGGAAAACAUAUUUUCAAUGAGCUGGCCUCAAGGUCAUUCUUUCUGGACAUAGAGGAACUUGAAUAUGUAGAUGCCAGGGAGUAUUUUUCCAUAACGACAUGUAAAAUCCAUGAUCUUAUGCAUGAUAUUGCAAUGUCUAUUAUGGACAAGGAAUGUGUUGUUGCAACUAAGGAAUCAAGUCAAAUCAAGUGGCUUCCAGAUACUACUCGGCAUUUAUUUUUGUCAUGUGAACAAACAGAAGGUAUGUUGAAUGAUGCUAUGGAGAGGGGAUCCCUUGCUAUCCGAACACUGCUAUGUGAUAAUCCUGUUUGGAGCUCACUGCAACAUCUAUCAAAGUACAGAUCUUUGCAUGCACUGAAGCUCUGUAUAAAGACAAUACCAUUUCUACUGAAACCAAAGUAUCUUCAUCACCUGAGGUACCUUGAUCUCUCAGAAAGUUAUAUUAAAGCACUUCUUCAAAAUAUGAGUAUUCUAUAUAGCUUGCAAACAUUGGACCUAUCCAAAUGCAUUUAUCUUGAUCGACUUCCAAAGCAAAUGAAGUAUAUGACUUCCCUCCGUCACCUCUAUACUCAUGGAUGUCCGGAGUUGGAGAGUAUGCCCCCAGAACUAGGAAAACUCACAAACCUUCAGACAUUGACAUGUUUUGUAGCAGCAGUUACUGGACCUGAUUGCAGUGAUGUAGCAGAGCUGCAACAUUUAAACCUUGGCGGUCAGCUAGAGCUAUGUCAGAUAGAGAAUGUUACGGAAGCAGAGCCAAAAGUGGCAAAUCUAGGAAACAAGAAGGAGCUCAGUGAACUAACAUUAAGAUGGACUUUUGUUUGCGAUAGCAAGGUGCUCGACAAUUUCGAACCUCAUGAUGGGCUGCAGGUUCUGAAGAUAUAUUACUAUGGUGGAGAGUGCAUUGGUAUGAUGCAAAACAUGGUUGAGAUACAACUUUUUCACUGUGAAAGAUUGCAAUUUUUGUUCAGAAGUGGUGCAUCCUUCACUUUUCCAAAACUGAAGGUGCUUACGCUAGAACAUCUGUUGAAGUUUGAGAGAUGGUGGGAAAUAAAUGCGAGGCAAGAUCAGAUAGGAUUUCCUCUGCUUGAGAAGUUGUUUAUUAAGUAUUGUGGAAUGCUGACAGCAUUGCCGAAAGCACCACUGCUUCGAGAACCGUGUGGUGGAAGUUAUAGGUUGGUGCGCUCACCGUUUCCUGCCCUAAAGGUACUAGAAUUGGAAGACUUGAAGAGCUUCCAGAGAUGGGAUGUUGCUGCUGAAGGAGGACGGGUAUUGUUUACUCAGCUUGAGAAACUGUCAAUUAAGAACUGCCCAAAGCUAAUGGAUUUACCUCGAGCACCAUUGCUUCAAGAACUCGAAUUGAAAUACUUGGCGAGCUUUCAGAGAUGGGAUGCUGUAGUCGAAGAAGAACAAAUAUUAUUUCCUCUUCUGGAGAAGCUAUCAACUGAAUUUCCAAAGGUGACGGAAUUAACUGAAGCACCGUACCUGCAAGAGCUCAAAUUGAAAUACUUGGAGAGCUUACAGAGGCAGGAAGCUGUAGUUGAAGAGCAAAUAUUGUUUCCACUUCUGCAGAAGCUAUCAAUUCAGAAAUGCCCAAGGCUGAUAGAUUUACCUGAAGCACCAAAACUCAUUUCAUUAGAAAUUCAAGAUGGCAAGCAAGAGAUCUUCCAUUUUGUAGGUAGAUAUUUGUCUUCGCUGACCAAACUGAUACUGAAGCUAGAAAAUACAGAAACAACAUCAGAGGCUGAGUGCGUUUCAAUUGUACCGAUGGACAACAAGGAGAAAUGGAACCAGAAAUCCCCACUUACAGUUAUGAAGUUAAGAUGCUGCAACUCAUUCUUUGGAGCAGGUGCACCAGAGCCAUGGGAUUAUUUUGGACAUCUUGAAGCUUUGGCAAUUGAUAGCUGUGAUGUGCUCGUCCACUGGCCAGACAAAGUAUUCCAAAGCUUGGUAGCCUUGAGGAGAUUAUCGAUUAGAAACUGCAAGAAUCUGACUGGAUGCGCACAAGCUCCUCCUGACCCAGAAUCUAGCCUGCACCUGCCUGCAUCAGCAACCGAAAGGAGCCAACACCUGCCUGGUCUGGAGUCUAUUGAGUUAAUUAAUUGUGCAAGUUUGAUAGAGAUGUUCAACGUCCCAGAAUCUCUCAAGGAAAUGCAUAUUUUUGGUUGCCAUGAGCUCAAGUCCAUAUUCGGCAAGCAGCAGGGCAUGUCACAGUUAGUUCAAGGGCUAUCUUGCAGCGAGGUAACCGUGCCCACGGUUGUAUCUGAGUUGUCAUCAUCAUCCAUGAAUCACUUCUUUCCAUGCCUAGAAUAUCUACAGUUAUCUGGAUGUGAUAGUUUAUCAGCGGUUCUAGAUCUUCCAGCGUCAUUAAAGACCAUAUCUAUUGGUGCCUGCAGGAAUAUUCAAGUUCUAUCAUGUCAGCUGAAUGGGCUUCAGAAACCACAAGUCACUACUUCCAUAAAUAUACCAGAGCCAUCAACAGCAGUAGCAAGAGAGCAUUCCCUUCCUCCUUGUCUCGAGUCUCUACACAUAUGCUGCUUCAGUGGCAUGUUUGGGGGGAUUCUCCAUCUGCCGAAUUCCCUCAAGACACUGAAAAUUUCUGGCAGUAGUUUGACAUCACUGGAGUUUCUGUCGGGAGAGCACCCCACAGCGUUGGAAUCCCUUGUAAUUGAUAGCUGCAGUACCCUGGCAUCCCUACCGAAUGAUCCGCAAGCAUACAGGUCGCUUCAACGGCUUGAAAUUACAUGCUGCCCUGCUAUAAAGAAGCUUCCUACAUGCCUGCAGCAGCAACUGGGUAGCAUUGGCUUCUACAAACGGCUGGAUGCCCAUUAUGAAGUAACGGCAUUUAAACCAAAGACUUGGAAGGAAAUACCAAGACUAGUCCAUGAGCGGAGGCAGGCUCGUCGCAGCUGA